Molecule: transfer RNA, 72 nt
Filed under: Camelus bactrianus (Bactrian camel)
Lineage: Eukaryota; Metazoa; Chordata; Mammalia; Artiodactyla; Camelidae
Also listed under: 2 other names
Rfam family: tRNA
About the family: Transfer RNA (tRNA) molecules are approximately 80 nucleotides in length. Their secondary structure includes four short double-helical elements and three loops (D, anti-codon, and T loops). Further hydrogen bonds mediate the characteristic L-shaped molecular structure. tRNAs have two regions of fundamental functional importance: the anti-codon, which is responsible for specific mRNA codon recognition, and the 3' end, to which the tRNAs corresponding amino acid is attached (by aminoacyl-tRNA synthetases). tRNAs cope with the degeneracy of the genetic code in two manners: having more than one tRNA (with a specific anti-codon) for a particular amino acid; and 'wobble' base-pairing, i.e. permitting non-standard base-pairing at the 3rd anti-codon position.
Source: Rfam by way of RNAcentral
GUGGGUAGAGCUCAGUGGUAGAGUGCAUGCUUAGCAUGCAAGAGGUCCUGGGUUCAAUCCCCAGUACCUCCA